Molecule: non-coding RNA, 28 nt
Filed under: Mus musculus (house mouse)
Lineage: Eukaryota; Metazoa; Chordata; Mammalia; Rodentia; Muridae
Source: RNAcentral
UGGGAGAACAAGAGGCAGGCCCCACUCU